AAUUUUCUUUAAUGGCAUUGCCCUUUGUUUAAGGAACUUGGAAACAAAUGCAAAACAAACAAACAAAUUGCUAUUUGUGGAAACCAAAACUGGCUGAGCCCAUAGCUCCAUGAAGUGCAGGGCAUGGCAAUUCCAGACAGAGCUCAGCAGGCUGCACCCUCCUGAGGCCUGCACCUUCUGGAAACCAGCUACUGCUGUGCAGGGAGAAUUGCAGUCUAUGUGUCAGGAUGGGUGUCAUUCAGUCUUUAUAGUUCACGAGAAACAACCAGGGGGAUUCUGAUGGCCUCAUAUUGUCUUAAGCACAACUCUGCCUCAAAUUGCCCUACUCCCAUACACUCCCCUUCUAAGGGGGAUCUGCUGUCUCCUAUCUACCAUGUCCCAAUCUCUAAUAGAUACAACCCCACUUUCUGGAGAGAUCUUCUAUAAAAUGACCACAGUUACUUUUUGUCUAAUAACAAACCUAAGUCAAAAAGCCUAGAUAAGUACAGUGGUGAGUGGUAGAUAAGUGAUCCAAUUGUGUUGUCAUUGUACAAAGCAGAGAUGUUGUGGGGGCAGGACUCAACCACCUCAGUAGUCCUGGGCAGCUGAGACAGCAUUUGGCCACCUCAGACUUCGCUGCUGGAAGAUCCCCAUUGCUUUAUUUCCAUCAAAAGGACUCUCCAGUUUUGUCUUUGGAUAAGCCUGUCUAUUUUCUCCAGAAGUUCUCAAAAUAAGUUUUUUCCAUUGUUCCUACCCCAGUUUCAAUUUUCCAGCAAAAGUUUGCAGUCUAAACACCUGAGAACCUGUCCCUGUCCUCUAUGCUAUCAAAUGUGAGGAUGCUUUGCUGAGCCACAGCUUCUAGAACAUUCCUUUCCUCAUUUUUCAUGAGCAGUUAGCACAUGAAGUUAGAUCCUGGUUGAGAAAGGAGGGCCAGGAAGGCUCAUAAAAUUGCUGCUGGGUAUGGCCAGACUCUGCUGUCAGUCAAAUCGGUAAGGUUUGCUAAAUUAUGCCUUUCUAUUAGAUUUAGUGCUCAUGUGAAACCAGACUAACAGAACAGAAAUGAUCUGGCUACUGCUUGGGCCAUCACUGCUUCCUGUUCUUCAAGUCUCACCCUGAAAUCUACUUAGCCUGAACUAUAGGAGAAACCUCACCUGACUGACACAAAACCCUUUUCUUGUCUCUAAGAACAGUUGCUGUUUGUAUAGCACUGGGGUCCUGCUAAAGCUAGGCUGGGCUGCAAGGUUGUUCUUCCUAACUGUAUUGACCUAUUGACAGAUUGUUUACUCAGUUCUGGAAAAUACUUCUUGGAACUUCCUCUCCUAAGAGUAUGAACCUAGGACUCUGCUACUGAAAACCCUCCAGCACUCUGUCUGAUUCUACGACAGUAAGAGUUAUUCUGUGUUGAUCAUUGAAUUUCUACUACCUUUCUGUGUUGGGCUGAAUGGCUGUUCAGUUUGGCUCAACGAUAUGAAACUCGACUCCUGGAGGAAAGAGUGAAUCCCCUCGGCUGUGCUUUGGUCUUCCCAGCUGACUUGAGUCAUCCCACUCAGUGACCUCAUCUCCUUUCAUAUCUGAAUGUUCCAGCUAUGCCCACAGCACCAGGAACAUCUGAAGAAGAAAAUUUCCACCGUUCAAAUCAAAAUAGACUCCAUCAUCCUAGACACUCACCAAUAUUUGAAAGAAGAAAAUACGGCACAUGUACACAGUGGAGUGCUGCUCAGAUAUAAAGAGAAUAAAAUUAUGCCAUUACUAAAUGAAACUGGGACUGUUUGGGAGCGUAUGAGGACCAGAAUGGAGACAGGGAACUGUGAGCAGACCAGAAGCAGGGAG
RNAcentral lists this long non-coding RNA (1809 nucleotides) under Mus musculus (house mouse). RNAcentral's name for it is "predicted gene, 31577". The record is from RNAcentral. Lineage: Eukaryota; Metazoa; Chordata; Mammalia; Rodentia; Muridae.